RNAcentral lists this ribosomal RNA (437 nucleotides) under uncultured bacterium. Its description in RNAcentral is "partial 16S ribosomal RNA". It matches the Rfam family "Bacterial small subunit ribosomal RNA", at positions 29 to 507 of the family's 1533-position model. The record is from RNAcentral.
AGCGAACGCUGGCGGCAGGCUUAACACAUGCAAGCCGAGCGGGCAUCCUUGUGGUGUCAGCGGCAGACGGGUGAGUAACGCGUGGGAACGUGCCCUUCGGUUCGGAAUAACUCAGGGAAACUUGAGCUAAUACCGGAUACGUGCGAGAGCAGAAAGGUUUAUCUGCCGAAGGAUCGGCCCGCGUCUGAUUAGCUAGUUGGUGAGGUUACGGCUCACCAAGGCGACGAUCAGUAGCUGGUCUGAGAGGAUGAUCAGCCACACUGGGACUGAGACACGGCCCAGACUCCUACGGGAGGCAGCAGUGGGGAAUAUUGGACAAUGGGGGCAACCCUGAUCCAGCCAUGCCGCGUGAGUGAUGACGGCCUUAGGGUUGUAAAGCUCUUUUCUCCGGGACGAUAAUGACGGUACCGGAGGAAUAAGCCCCGGCUAACUUCGUG